AGUAUUAUGUCUGAUAAAGGUAAUAAAUUGUAAAUUUAUAAAUGAAAAGUUAUUUUUCUAAUACUA
Molecule: transfer RNA, 66 nt
Filed under: Polyrhachis dives
Lineage: Eukaryota; Metazoa; Arthropoda; Insecta; Hymenoptera; Formicidae
Description: tRNA-Tyr
Source: RNAcentral